This 497-nucleotide ribosomal RNA is filed under the name uncultured bacterium. RNAcentral describes it as "partial 16S ribosomal RNA". It matches the Rfam family "Bacterial small subunit ribosomal RNA", at positions 28 to 507 of the family's 1533-position model. The record is from RNAcentral.
GAUGAACGCUGGCGGCGUGCCUAAUACAUGCCAGUCGAGCGAACGGACGAGAAGCUUGCUUCUCUGAUGUUAGCGGCGGACGGGUGAGUAACACGUGGAUAACCUACCUAUAAGACUGGGAUAACUUCGGGAAACCGUAGCUAAUACCGGAUAAUAUUUUGAACCGCAUGGUUCAAAAGUGAAAGACGGUCUUGCUGUCACUUAUAGAUGGGUCCGCGCUGCAUUAGCUAGUUGGUAAGGUAACGGCUCACCAAGGCAACGAUGCAUAGCCGACCUGAGAGGGUGAUCGGCCACACUGGAACUGAGACACGGUCCAGACUCCUACGGGAGGCAGCAGUAGGGAAUCUUCCGCAAUGGGCGAAAGCCUGACGGAGCAACGCCGCGUGAGUGAUGAAGGUCUUCGGAUCGUAAAACUCUGUUAUUAGGGAAGAACAUAUGUGUAAGUAACUGUGCACAUCUUGACGGUACCUAAUCAGAAAGCCACGGCUAACUACGUG